CCUACGGGAGGCAGCAGUGGGGAAUAUUGGACAAUGGGCGAAAGCCUGAUCCAGCAAUGCCGCGUGAGUGAUGAAGGCCUUAGGGUUGUAAAGCUCUUUUACCAGGGAUGAUAAUGACAGUACCUGGAGAAUAAGCUCCGGCUAACUCCGUGCCAGCAGCCGCGGUAAUACGGAGGGGGCUAGCGUUGUUCGGAAUUACUGGGCGUAAAGCGUGCGUAGGCGGCGAUUCAAGUCAGAGGUGAAAGCCUGGAGCUCAACUCCAGAACUGCCUUUGAAACUAGAUUGCUAGAAUCUUGGAGAGGUCAGUGGAAUUCCGAGUGUAGAGGUGAAAUUCGUAGAUAUUCGGAAGAACACCAGUGGCGAAGGCGACUGACUGGACAAGUAUUGACGCUGAGGUACGAAAGCGUGGGGAGCAAACAGGAUUAGAUACCCUGGUAGUCCACGCUGUAAACGAUGAUAACUAGCUGUCCGGGCUCUCAGAGCUUGGGUGGCGCAGCUAACGCAUUAAGUUAUCCGCCUGGGGAGUACGGUCGCAAGAUUAAAACGUUCAAAUGAAAUUGACGG
RNAcentral lists this ribosomal RNA (564 nucleotides) under uncultured bacterium. Its description in RNAcentral is "bacterial SSU rRNA". It matches the Rfam family "Bacterial small subunit ribosomal RNA", at positions 338 to 916 of the family's 1533-position model. The record is from RNAcentral.